This is a non-coding RNA of Schizosaccharomyces pombe (fission yeast), 455 nucleotides long. The record is from the annotation of a GenBank genome assembly. Lineage: Eukaryota; Fungi; Ascomycota; Schizosaccharomycetes; Schizosaccharomycetales; Schizosaccharomycetaceae.
CGCUUAACAUUUGCCGUCAAAAAUUGUUUAAAAUAGGAAUGCCGAGUGAACCACCCCCCUAAAUUGCCAACUGAUUAAACGUGUUUCAUUAGCACUUGACUUUUGGAAAUAUAAUAAUCAUUACUUGAAACUAGUUAUCCCACUUCGCAUUGCUUACCCACACCUACAAAUACCUUAACAUCAAAUCUUUAUUUACCCUUUCCCUCUUCCAAAACGCCAGUUUGUUUUAAUAAUGCAAUAAAAAAAUACUCUAUGAACAUACAAGGAAUUACCAUAUAAUGGCAACAUUACGGCGUGGUAUGAUAUGUUAUGAUAUGAACAAGCAACAUUUCAAACUACAUAAUUAAGCACUAUCAAACAGAAAACACAUGUGACCACAUAGCCAUAUAAAUCACACACAUAUAUAUAUUGAAAAACUUCAUAAAUUCGAUUGUCCCAAUAAAAUCGAUUUUACC